GGGGAUCGUAAGACCUCGCGUUAUUGGAGCGGCCGAUGCCGGAUUAGCUAGUUGGUGAGGUAAGGGCUCACCAAGGCGACGAUCCGUAGCUGGUCUGAGAGGACGACCAGCCACACUGGGACUGAGACACGGCCCAGACUCCUACGGGAGGCAGCAGUGGGGAAUUUUGGACAAUGGGCGCAAGCCUGAUCCAGCCAUGCCGCGUGAGUGAAGAAGGCCUUCGGGUUGUAAAGCUCUUUCGCAAGGAAAGAAAACUUAUCUACUAAUACUAGGUGAGGUUGACGGUACCUUGAUAAGAAGCACCGGCUAACUACGUGCCAGCAGCCGCGGUAAUACGUAGGGUGCGAGCGUUAAUCGGAAUUA
Molecule: ribosomal RNA, 363 nt
Filed under: uncultured bacterium
Lineage: Bacteria
Description: SSU rRNA
Rfam family: Bacterial small subunit ribosomal RNA
Source: RNAcentral